Molecule: ribosomal RNA, 332 nt
Filed under: uncultured Phaselicystis sp.
Lineage: Bacteria; Pseudomonadati; Myxococcota; Polyangiales; Phaselicystidaceae
Description: bacterial SSU rRNA
Rfam family: Bacterial small subunit ribosomal RNA
Source: RNAcentral
CGUGUAGGCGGCUUGGCAAGUCGGGUGUGAAAUCCCGGGGCUCAACCCCGGAACUGCAUUCGAUACUGCCUCGCUAGAGUCCCGGAGAGGAGGGCGGAAUUCCCGGUGUAGAGGUGAAAUUCGUAGAUAUCGGGAGGAACACCAGUGGCGAAGGCGGCCCUCUGGACGGUGACUGACGCUGAGAUGCGAAAGCGUGGGGAGCAAACAGGAUUAGAUACCCUGGUAGUCCACGCUGUAAACGUUGGGUGCUAGGUGUCGCGGGUAUUGACCCCUGCGGUGCCGACGCUAACGCAUUUAGCACCCCGCCUGGGGAGUACGGUCGCAAGGCUAAA